RNA transcript from Synchiropus splendidus (mandarinfish), 3427 nucleotides. It is a transcript of the gene named ETS domain-containing protein Elk-3-like, with no coding region annotated. The transcript is spliced from 4 exons. The record is from RefSeq and is a predicted model, not a curated record. NCBI's taxonomy places the organism in Eukaryota, Metazoa, Chordata, Actinopteri, Syngnathiformes, Callionymidae.
CGGGAAUACUGCGCCAGAGGAAGUGCGCCGGUUGUCCGUCUAUGCGUCCUGACUUCCUGUUCUGUGGCAGCAGAGACGGACGAAAAAAAAAAACAAGAAAAAAAAAAAAGCUGCGGAUCCGCUUUCAGGCAGCAGCAUGGAGCCCAAACACAACACACACAGCCCACACUGACACACACACGCACACACACUCGCUCACUCUCACUCGCACUCAGUCAGUGACGGACUCGGGAGCAGCAGCAGGAUCUCCUGUGUCUCUGGCGACAUCAUGGAGAGCUCCAUCACACUCUGGCAGUUCCUGCUGCAGCUGCUGCUCGACCAAAGCCACAAGCACCUCAUUUGCUGGACGUCCAACGACGGCGAGUUCAAGCUGAUCAAGUCAGAGGAGGUAGCCAAGCUGUGGGGGCUGAGGAAGAACAAGACCAACAUGAACUAUGACAAGCUGAGCAGAGCGCUUCGCUACUACUACGACAAAAACAUCAUUCGAAAAGUGAUCGGCCAGAAAUUUGUCUACAAGUUUGUAUCAUUCCCGGACAUCCUGAGGAUGGACCCUGCGCUGGUGGAAGCCGGGCGGGCCGGUGAGGACAGCCGGGUCACCAUGUCAGAGUCGGAGAGUGGAGAUGAGGACGGGGGCAGACAAGGUCAGGUCCCUCCACCCCGCCAGCACCAGGUCUUGGAUCUCCAUCUGUCCCCCAAGGCUGAACCUGGUGUGGACCUCCAUGACGACAACUCCACCGUCAUCAGAUUCAGCCCGGCCACGCCCCUAAAAUCUUUAGGGCUGUCGCCCCGUAAAGUGAAAUCAUCUCCGUCGCCACCCCAGAGUCCGGUUUGCACAACCAAGGGGGACGAGUCGGAGUCCAACGCACAACCUUUAAACCUGUCGUCCGGGCCGAGGGAGCGGUCCAGGAGCGUGGCCACACCAGAGAGGAAGGGUCUCACACACGGCAGGGUCUCUAAAACGCGGAAACCCAAAGGCCUGGAGAUCCCCUCUCCUUCCCUCUACCUGACGGUCAAUGACCUGGUCUCCCUUGCCCUCAACAGUCCAUCCCUGCCGUCUGGAUCCCUGACCCCCGCCUUCCUCUCAGCACAGGUAGGCCUGAGUGUGUCUGGAUGUCUCGGGCAGUGGGAGAGCCAGGCUCAGGAAAUUUCAAAUAGCAGACAGGGAGGAGAUGGAGAGCGAGGUGAGCGGAAAGAGGGGAGGUGGUUUAUAAGUGAAGCCAUAUGUUCCGGAAGUUCCACAAACAGUCUGAACAGACCUUCCCCUGACGGACUCACAGAAACGAGGACCAUCACUCCGCGCUGAGUUUGAUCCCAGAGAUUAUCGGUUUUAGGUUUCAGAUCUUGGUCCCGACUCAGCAGCUCUGACAAGAGCGGGGUCUGUGGGGAUUCUGAAUCUAGUCCAGAAAGCUUGGGCCGUGCUUUAGUCCUGAAAUAAUAUUGCGUCCCACUUUGACCGGGAAUUAUACCAUUUCUGUGUCGACAAAUAUGCUUCCUCCAAAAUCCAAUACUUUUAGAGGAUCUGAUUUGAGCUUGGAUUCAUUCAAGUGCAAAUCUAUAUUCAAACUAUCAACCCUCCAGUUAUUUUAUGGCUCAAAUAAAAGUAAAUCAAAUUAUCAUCUUUUGUUCUUACUUUAAUAAUGUGUAUUUCACUGUCACAAAAAAUGUUCUUAUCUGCUGUGUGGACAGCAGCCAGAGUCAAACGGACUAGGCCCAAACUAGAAAACAGCCGGUAAAUGGAGGACAUCCUCUCCUCACCUCGACUUACUCCUCAUGACUGAUGACUGCGCACAGAUCCAUCAGUUAUGUCCUGGUUGGAAAUGAGGCUGCCCUGCAGGUGUAGGAGUUUUCAUAUCUCGGGGGCUUGUGUACGGCUGAGGGCAGGACAGAGCACAAACCAAGCACUUUUUAAUUUAAUUUUUUUAUUUUAAUUGUACAAAAUUGUAUCCAAAAAUCCAUUUCACCCUGCAUAAACUUCAACCGUACACAUCAAGACAUCUAUUUUAUGUAUUUAUUUUUGCAUUAGAACUUGUUUUCUAACAUGCUUCUCUUGCAGAGACUUGAGUGUGACCCGUCCGGAAAGUAGUGUUGUGACAGGAAGGGACAGGAAGUGAGGGGCAGAGGAACAGGAAGGAGAAGAAUGCUCUUGUUGAAGCUGAAAAACAUGUCUUCAAGUGUUAAUCCUCAAGUACACAUUUCACUACUAUAGCAUUGAAAUGAGUAAAUCUGGUGAUGAAAUUAUCGAUCAAUGAAAACAUCUGUCUUUUUUUGGAUGUGUAUAUAUUAAUACUGAAAUUUAUAUCUAGUACUAAAAAGGCAGCCCUCGCUAACUGAACCUGGCUGCAGAAAUGUCUUUGGUGUGUACCUGCAGUGGUGCUGUAAAAACAUGUUGAAUCUAUAGCAAAACCCUGAAAUGAUCAUUAUUUAUUUUCACCUCAAAAUAGGUCCAUCAAAAUAGAGCCUCGGUCUCUCAGUGAAUUUCACAGACUUGAAAUCAGAGUCUCUCAGAUUCAUAUUUUGUCCACCCAGGAAAAGUGUUUUGCCAGGAAAUGACAGGAAGUGAAGCGCAGAGAAACAAGAAGUGAUGCGUAAGAAAGCGUUACUGGUUUGACAGGAAGUCGUGUCAGCAGCUUAUGACAGUCACUAAUACGAACCUCCAACAAAAUGGCGCGGUCUGCUACCCUGCUUUCAAGAAAACUCAAGAAAAUGUAAUUUUCAACAAGAUAAGAAACACAUAAGACUUGUACGUCAAACAUGAAUAUUAUUUGAAUGUUUUGUUUUUUCCUCAAAACAAAAGGAAUGAUCUAAUGCGCUUACGGCAGUGAAUGUGGGAUGCUGUUAAACAUAAAAGAACAAAAUAAAGAAUGUAAGUCUGUCUCAAACGUGGAUGAAGUGCUAGUCUAAUGUUGAUGUUGCUCAUAUGCUGAUGCAGUAUAAAGCAGUAGCGAAGACCAGGCAUCUGUGCCUGAAGUCAAUUCGGCAAAAAUGGGUGAAGUAAGUUUUGAAGAUGUCAUUCUGCUAAACUCCAAGGAAAAGGGUGGUGCUAGCUAGUAGGGAGCUGUAGUGGGGUUGAACUACUGUUAGCAAAAUGCUCAUACAAUGACCAAGAGUGACUCUGGUAAAUAAUAGUGAGAGGCGCAUUGAUAAAGCUUUUUUUCAAAAGGUGAACUAGUGUUGCACCUGCAGCAUGGUCCACUAGAGGGCGUAUUUCCACCUUUUUCAUUACAUCUAAAAGACGUGAUUUAAAAAAAAAAAAAUGUUCUUUUUCUCAGACUCCACCUGGACUGCUGUUCACCCCAAAUCCUCUGCUGUCGUUCUGGUCCAGUCUGAGUCCAGGUGGUCCUUCAAGUCCGGCCCAGCAGCAGAGCAACAGCCCGCUCUUCCAGUUCCCCUCUUUGAUAAACGGACUGCCAGCGCCUCUGCAGGGCCU